This is a long non-coding RNA of Lolium rigidum, 325 nucleotides long. RefSeq lists it as uncharacterized. The transcript is spliced from 3 exons. NCBI's taxonomy places the organism in Eukaryota, Viridiplantae, Streptophyta, Magnoliopsida, Poales, Poaceae. The record is from RefSeq and is a predicted model, not a curated record.
CAUUUUCUGCAAUUUGCUUCUCUGAAAUUUGCUGGGCAUUUUACUGGCCAAGACGUGUUUGCUUUAAUCCCUCAGAAUUGAAGAUGAGGUAGUUUCUUCAGCCAGUGAGAAGGAGUAUCUGAUAGAUAAUCUUCCCAAAUCAGGUGCUGGUGCUGGCCGGGUAGGAGGUGGCAGCAGCGCACAGGUGCUUGAGGCCCUUCACCAUGAACGGCCUAUCCUCCUCCGCGCUCGUGUCUUUGGCCAGGUCCAGAUGAGGACGAUGUCUUGUUUUUAGAUAAGUUGAUAACUUCUGCAGCCUUGGACACAGAUAAACUAGAGAUUUGUC